Molecule: ribosomal RNA, 468 nt
Filed under: uncultured bacterium
Lineage: Bacteria
Description: partial 16S ribosomal RNA
Rfam family: Bacterial small subunit ribosomal RNA
Source: RNAcentral
GACGAACGCUGGCGGCGUGCUUAACACAUGCAAGUCGAACGGAAAGGCCCUGCUUUUGUGGGGUGCUCGAGUGGCGAACGGGUGAGUAACACGUGAGUAACCUGCCCUUGACUUUGGGAUAACUUCAGGAAACUGGGGCUAAUACCGGAUAGGAGCUCCUGCUGCAUGGUGGGGGUUGGAAAGUUUCGGCGGUUGGGGAUGGACUCGCGGCUUAUCAGCUUGUUGGUGGAGUAGUGGCUUACCAAGGCUUUGACGGGUAGCCGGCCUGAGAGGGUGACCGGCCACAUUGGGACUGAGAUACGGCCCAGACUCCUACGGGAGGCAGCAGUGGGGAAUAUUGCACAAUGGGCGGAAGCCUGAUGCAGCAACGCCGCGUGCGGGAUGAUGGCCUUCGGGUUGUAAACCGCUUUCGCCUGUGACGAAGCGUGAGUGACGGCAAUGGGUAAAGAAGCACCGGCUAACUACGUG